This 74-nucleotide transfer RNA is filed under the name Paramuricea clavata. It matches the Rfam family "tRNA". From Rfam's summary of the family: Transfer RNA (tRNA) molecules are approximately 80 nucleotides in length. Their secondary structure includes four short double-helical elements and three loops (D, anti-codon, and T loops). The record is from Rfam by way of RNAcentral. Lineage: Eukaryota; Metazoa; Cnidaria; Anthozoa; Malacalcyonacea; Plexauridae.
GACCGCGUAGCUUCAGUUGGCAGAGCAUUGGGCUAGUAUUCCAAAGGUCGUAGGUUCGAUUCCCACCGUGGCCA